AAACCAGCACCUCAAGUGGUCAGGAUGAUUAUUGGGCCUAAAGCAUCCGUAGCCUGCUCUGUAAGUUUUCGGUUAAAUCUGUACGCUCAACGUACAGGCUGUCGGGAAUACUGCAGAGCUAGGGAGUGGGAGAGGUAGACGGUACUCGGGAGGAAGUGGUAAAAUGCUUUGAUCUCUCGAUGACCACCUGUGGCGAAGGCGGUCUACCAGAACACGUCCGACGGUGAGGGAUGAAAGCUGGGGGAGCAAACCGGAUUAGAAACCCUGGUAGUCC
RNAcentral lists this ribosomal RNA (274 nucleotides) under uncultured bacterium. RNAcentral describes it as "partial 16S ribosomal RNA". It matches the Rfam family "Archaeal small subunit ribosomal RNA", at positions 473 to 747 of the family's 1478-position model. The record is from RNAcentral.